RNAcentral lists this ribosomal RNA (436 nucleotides) under uncultured bacterium. RNAcentral describes it as "bacterial SSU rRNA". It matches the Rfam family "Bacterial small subunit ribosomal RNA", at positions 350 to 778 of the family's 1533-position model. The record is from RNAcentral.
UGCAGUGGGGAAUAUUGGACAAUGGGCGAAAGCCUGAUCCAGCCAUGCCGCGUGUGUGAAGAAGGUCUUCGGAUUGUAAAGCACUUUAAGUUGGGAGGAAGGGCAGUAAGUUAAUACCUUGCUGUUUUGACGUUACCAACAGAAUAAGCACCGGCUAACUUCGUGCCAGCAGCCGCGGUAAUACGAAGGGUGCAAGCGUUAAUCGGAAUUACUGGGCGUAAAGCGCGCGUAGGUGGUUUGGUAAGAUGGAUGUGAAAUCCCCGGGCUCAACCUGGGAACUGCAUCCAUAACUGCCUGACUAGAGUACGGUAGAGGGUGGUGGAAUUUCCUGUGUAGCGGUGAAAUGCGUAGAUAUAGGAAGGAACACCAGUGGCGAAGGCGACCACCUGGACUGAUACUGACACUGAGGUGCGAAAGCGUGGGGAGCAAACAGGAU